This 419-nucleotide ribosomal RNA is filed under the name uncultured bacterium. RNAcentral's name for it is "bacterial SSU rRNA". It matches the Rfam family "Bacterial small subunit ribosomal RNA", at positions 355 to 776 of the family's 1533-position model. The record is from RNAcentral.
UAGGGAAUCUUGCACAAUGAGCGCAAGCCUGAUGCAGCGAUGCCGCGUGAGGGAUGAAGGUCUUCGGAUUGUAAACCUCUUUCGACAGGGAAGAAGCCACCUCUCAAGGUGGUGACGGUACCUGUAGAAGAAGCCCCGGCUAACUACGUGCCAGCAGCCGCGGUAAAACGUAGGGGGCAAGCGUUGCCCGGAUUUACUGGGCGUAAAGCGGGUGUAGGCGGUCCUCUAAGUCAGAUGUGAAAUCCUACGGCUCAACCGUGGAACUGCAUCUGAUACUGGAGGACUUGAGGACGGUAGAGGUCGGUGGAAUCCCCGGUGUACCGGUGAAAUGGGCAGAUAUCGGGGGGAACACCAGUGGCGAAGGCGGCCGACUGGGCCGAUCCUGACGCUGAGACCCGAAAGCUAGGGUAGCGAACCGG